AAAUGUUUGCGGGGGGACUCGAGAGAGUUGAGAAGGUAGAACCUGACCCUUUGAACCUGUCAGUUAACACUGGCGCAGGGAAGCAUGCUGAAAAACAAC
Molecule: non-coding RNA, 99 nt
Filed under: Clostridium oryzae
Lineage: Bacteria; Bacillati; Bacillota; Clostridia; Eubacteriales; Clostridiaceae
Description: TPP sequence
Rfam family: TPP riboswitch aptamer (THI element)
About the family: Vitamin B(1) in its active form thiamin pyrophosphate (TPP) is an essential coenzyme that is synthesised by coupling of pyrimidine and thiazole moieties in bacteria.
Source: Rfam by way of RNAcentral